GCAAAUCCUCACUCUCACUCAAAGCAAUACACGCCAAAGGCAUGAAAGAAAUUCUGAAAAGUUUGAUUAAAAGCUACCUCUUACAAUUGUUUCUUAUCCUUAUAUAGUAAGGAGAAAAACAAAUAAAACCCUAAGAUACUCUUCUUGGGCCUGACUUAAACACAUAAGGCCCAAGCCCAAUCACACACUAAAAUAACACAUAAGUAUUAAAACAUAAGCCCAAAACAUGGCCC
This 233-nucleotide long non-coding RNA is filed under the name Manihot esculenta (cassava). RNAcentral describes it as "long non-coding RNA (MESC_LNC005561)". Lineage: Eukaryota; Viridiplantae; Streptophyta; Magnoliopsida; Malpighiales; Euphorbiaceae. The record is from RNAcentral.